Molecule: long non-coding RNA, 179 nt
Organism: Triplophysa dalaica
Lineage: Eukaryota; Metazoa; Chordata; Actinopteri; Cypriniformes; Nemacheilidae
Exons: 3
Source: RefSeq, a predicted model, not a curated record
UGAAAAUCCUGCACCUACACCAAAGAGUUCAAACAUUGGAGGUGAAUGUGAAUGAUGAUGAUGAUGAUGAAAACUCACGCGCUCUUCCUGCACAGAUGAUCUGAAGAAGAAUGACAGUAGGAGCAGCAAACACUGACACCUCAACAAUCACUAGAAUCACUAGAAGACACAAGAACACC